This is a long non-coding RNA of Xenia sp. Carnegie-2017, 784 nucleotides long. RefSeq lists it as uncharacterized. The transcript is spliced from 2 exons. Lineage: Eukaryota; Metazoa; Cnidaria; Anthozoa; Malacalcyonacea; Xeniidae. The record is from RefSeq and is a predicted model, not a curated record.
GAUGACAAAUGACGGAAACGUGCGAGCGCAUAUAGAACACCGUGAAUGCGUGAACAAUGUCGUGCAGGCGACAGAUACAGACGAUGAAACAUUCACACAAUGGAGUUUGGGAAUCCAAAAUAACGAUGAUUACGCAAAAGUUUUAGGUAUAAGCUGGGAUUGCGACAAUGAUCUGUUCAUGUUCGACCUGCAAUAGUUUGUAGGAGACUUGGGUGACAAGAAGCUAACUAAACGAAACCUGCUGAGCGCAGUAGCAAAGAUAUUUCAUCCGCUAGGAUUAAUUAGCUGCGUAAUAGUUUUGACGAAAAUCUUGUUUUAGCAGCUGUGCGUAGAAAAGAUUGAUUGGGAUGACGAGAUAAGCAGAAAUUACGCCGGUCUAUACACCGAAUGGAUUGAAGAUCUAAACCGUGUUAAGACUAUUAAGCUAAGUAGAUGCAUCUAUAAAUCCCGCUGAUUUAAGAAGCAGGGGAGUGUUUGCGUCAAAGAUACGUGAGCAAUCACUUUGAUGGACAGGACCAAGGUGGCUGAGUAGCGUAGAAAGAGAAUGGCCGCAAUCAGAGGUAGGCGUAACUGAGGAGAGUAAAGAAGAAGAAAAGCGAACGGCACUAUUAGUAGUAGAUACUAACGAAGAAAUAGGUAUUCAGAACAUGAUCUCUAUAGAGAGGUACAGUAGGGUUGAGAAGUUAUUCCGGGUAACGGCAUGGGUCACACGAUUUGUCAGGAAUUUGAUCGCUAGGAUCAAAGGGAAACAUGAAGAUUUAACCUUCACGGAAUUAGGGAGUCA